RNAcentral lists this small RNA (64 nucleotides) under Xanthomonas oryzae. RNAcentral describes it as "sX9". It matches the Rfam family "Xanthomonas sRNA sX9". Lineage: Bacteria; Pseudomonadati; Pseudomonadota; Gammaproteobacteria; Lysobacterales; Lysobacteraceae. The record is from RNAcentral.
AUAAAUGCCGAUUCCGAACACCGGCCGCGCCCGCCUGGCGGCUGCUCGCUACGUUUUGUUAGCC